RNAcentral lists this ribosomal RNA (492 nucleotides) under uncultured bacterium. RNAcentral's name for it is "partial 16S ribosomal RNA". It matches the Rfam family "Bacterial small subunit ribosomal RNA", at positions 30 to 507 of the family's 1533-position model. The record is from RNAcentral.
AUUGAACGCUGGCGGCAUGCUUUACACAUGCAGGUCGAACGGUAACAGGCCUUCGGGUGCUGACGAGUGGCGAACGGGUGAGUAAUGCAUCGGAACGUGCCCAGAGGUGGGGGAUAACGCAGCGAAAGCUGUGCUAAUACCGCAUGUGAUCUGAGGAUGAAAGCGGGGGACCAGGCAGCAAUGUUUGGCCUCGCGCCUUUGGAGCGGCCGAUGUCAGAUUAGGUAGUUGGUGGGGUAAAGGCCUACCAAGCCGACGAUCUGUAGCUGGUCUGAGAGGACGACCAGCCACACUGGGACUGAGACACGGCCCAGACUCCUACGGGAGGCAGCAGUGGGGAAUUUUGGACAAUGGGCGCAAGCCUGAUCCAGCAAUGCCGCGUGCGGGAAGAAGGCCUUCGGGUUGUAAACCGCUUUUGUACGGAACGAAAAGGCUCUGGCUAAUACCUGGGGCUGAUGACGGUACCGUAAGAAUAAGCACCGGCUAACUACGUG